RNAcentral lists this transfer RNA (72 nucleotides) under Candidatus Kuenenbacteria bacterium RBG_16_41_7. Its description in RNAcentral is "tRNA-Arg". It matches the Rfam family "tRNA". From Rfam's summary of the family: Transfer RNA (tRNA) molecules are approximately 80 nucleotides in length. RNAcentral also lists the same sequence under 2 other names. The record is from RNAcentral. Lineage: Bacteria; Candidatus Kueneniibacteriota.
CUCCUCGUCGUUCAACGGAUAGGACAUGAGCUUGCGGAGCUCAUAAUGUAGGUUCGAUUCCUACCGGGGAGA